AAGACCUUGCGCUUUGGGAGCGGCCGAUGUCUGAUUAGCUAGUUGGUGGGGUAAAGGCCUACCAAGGCGACGAUCAGUAGUUGGUCUGAGAGGACGACCAGCCACACUGGGACUGAGACACGGCCCAGACUCCUACGGGAGGCAGCAGUGGGGAAUUUUGGACAAUGGGCGCAAGCCUGAUCCAGCAAUGCCGCGUGAGUGAAGAAGGCCUUCGGGUUGUAAAGCUCUUUCAGUCGAGAAGAAAAAGCUGCAGUGAAUAACUGUAGUUCAUGACGGUAUCGACAGAAGAAGCACCGGCUAACUACGUGCCAGCAGCCGCGGUAAUACGUAGGGUGCAAGCGUUAAUCGGAAUUACUGGGCGUAAAGGGUGCGCAGGCGGCUUUGUAAGUCAGAUGUGAAAUCCCCGGGCUUAACCUGGGAAUU
This 423-nucleotide ribosomal RNA is filed under the name uncultured bacterium. Its description in RNAcentral is "bacterial SSU rRNA". It matches the Rfam family "Bacterial small subunit ribosomal RNA", at positions 207 to 622 of the family's 1533-position model. The record is from RNAcentral.